Molecule: long non-coding RNA, 114 nt
Organism: Carassius carassius (crucian carp)
Lineage: Eukaryota; Metazoa; Chordata; Actinopteri; Cypriniformes; Cyprinidae
Exons: 2
Source: RefSeq, a predicted model, not a curated record
AGCAGCGCAUGCGCAGCUCGUGAACAGCUCUGUGAACUGUUUCAUCCUGUCAAAAAAAAUGGUCACUGAACGAAUCAGUGAAUGAAUCAUUUUGGUGAACGAACUGAAAAUCAA